Molecule: long non-coding RNA, 1319 nt
Organism: Cyprinus carpio carpio
Lineage: Eukaryota; Metazoa; Chordata; Actinopteri; Cypriniformes; Cyprinidae
Source: Ensembl
UUUAUAUUCUUUCUCUACAUAUUUAUAAAUAUAAAAUGUGACGCAAGUUCACCAGAACAAGUUGAUAACACAGUUGACGGUCAAUUAAUCUACUCUAUAUGCAGACAAUAAUAUAGAUAAAAUAUUAAAGAGAAGUUAUGACUUUCCACACUUUCUUCAAAUUUCCCUCCAAAAAAGGAAAAUACAUCAUGUGAUGUUGGACGUGUGACUUUGGAACAAACCAUUGCUGAUUUAUAGGGGGUUUUAUAGGGAGUAACACAGUUGACACUGAUUUCUCGGACAUACAUAAAAUAGAUGAUUUAAUGUAGAUGCAUGAGCAAAAUAUUUUUUAAAACACCUUUCUCAUAAUUUAAUGAUUAUUUUGGACAAAUAUUUAUAAGAAAUAUAUACAGAAACAUGUUUUUUAGAGCUUAUCUGAAGAGCAAAACCUCACAUUUACCAAAUCAGACAGCACAAAUACAGCAAAUUCCAGUAUAGAAUAUGCCAUUUUUUUUUUGCAAGAUAAAAGAUGGAUAACUGUUGGAUUUUUGUAUUAAAUUAAUUAGAAAUGUCCCCUGAUAUAAAAGUGAUCAUAGUUUGAAAUGAAAAGUUGAUAAAAUUGAUAAUAGAGUCCAUGGACUUGACAUGUACCCCUAAUUAUAGAAUGACUUUGAAACUCACCAACAAAGGCAGAAAAACCAAAGAACUACACAAUGACACAUUAUUACAGUUUGCUGUUCAGGACUUGAAUCUACUAUUCUUAUUCAAAAAGGGUGUCCUUACUCCUCAUUAAACGGAUAAUCUGUUGAACCCAGGGCUUUCCAGCACAAGGCAAUGCCCCAAAGCCAUUCAGGGGCAUAACGGAGCCGUUGUUUGCACUGUCACGGCAAAGACGAUCUACGAGGCCUCCUUUUUCUCAGGUUUCACUUGUUGUUAUUGUAAGGCAUCUAAUGUAUAAAAACAAACAGGAAGUUAAACCUGCACAAUGUUGUAAAACAUUUGAUUGGUAGUAGUGUAUGACUGAAAGAUGGUGGGCCAUAAUUAUUUGUAAAUGUGAUUUACUAAUGUACUACAAAAUUAACUGCAAACUGAAAGCUAAAACACGGUAAGUUCAAAUGUAAGACUAUUUAAUUAAUUUUAAUAUAGACCUGCAGAUAUAAUGGAGGACUGAAUGGAAAAGCAAGGUGAGAAGCUUAAAGAAGAAAGAAACUAAUACAGGUUUGGAACAACAUGCGGGUGAGUAAAUGACAAUUUUCAUUUCUGAGUGAACUAUCCCUUUAAUAAUCAUAUUAAGCCAUUUUGCAAUUCCUGUUUUUCCGUCCCCAAAGUUAAGACCUCUU